RNAcentral lists this ribosomal RNA (253 nucleotides) under uncultured bacterium. RNAcentral describes it as "partial 16S ribosomal RNA". It matches the Rfam family "Bacterial small subunit ribosomal RNA", at positions 524 to 776 of the family's 1533-position model. The record is from RNAcentral.
GACAGAGGGUGCAAACGUUGUUCGGAAUUACUGGGCGUAAAGCGCGUGUAGGCGGCCCUACAAGUCGGGUGUGAAAUCCCACGGCUCAACCGUGGAAGUGCACUCGAAACUGCAGGGCUAGAGUCCUGGAGAGGAAGGUGGAAUGCUUGGUGUAGAGGUGAAAUUCGUAGAUAUCAAGCGGAACACCGGUGGCGAAGGCGGCCUUCUGGACAGUGACUGACGCUGAGACGCGAAAGCGUGGGGAGCAAACAGG